AUGCAGGAGCUGCACCGACGACAUGUGAGCGAUUAUGCAGCCUGUCCGAUGCGCGGAAACGGAGAUGAAAGUCUCUAUCACUGUUUGAUAACAUGUGAUCACGCCAAGCUGUUUUGGGUGGAGGCAGAAACUGUAUUUGCUGUCAAGGUGCCCCGACUCCAUCCACACACUUGGGCUACUGAUUUGCUGGAUGCUAGGUUGGUACCAAAGAAAGAUGCAGCGAUUGGCAUAACGGUGAUGUGGGCUAUUUGGAGCAGCCGGAACAGGUUCACUCACCAUGAAGAAAGAUAUCAACCCAAGCGAUCCAUGGAGGUCAUUUUUGAAAUUGUGAGGACACUGGAGCUUCCCCCCACGACACAUACUACGGCUGUUCACGAGCAGCAGAGAUGGGAGGCGCCGACGACCGGGGUUGUCAAGCUGAAUGUUGACGGCGCAGUCGACACGGCUAGCGCAAAAGGUGGCACAGGCGUAGUUGCCCGUAACAGUGAAGGCAACCUGCUAGUGUCGCGGUGCACUGGCUACCAAGGGGUGGUUGAUCCCCUAACUGUGGAGAUUUUGGCCUGCAGAGAUGCUACCUUGCUUACGAGGGAGAAGAACUAUCAGAAUGUGAUAGUCGAGACAGAUUGCCUCAAUGUUGUUCAGCUCUGGGAAGGAAGGCUGAGAGGUAAAUCGAAGGGGUUCCAUAUCUUUCAAGAGAUGCAGGAGGAGAUGCCGUUUUUUCAGGGAUUUCAGCUUCGUUAUGCUAGCCGUCUAGUAAAUUCUGUUGCUCAUACUUGUGCUAAGGAAGCUUUAUUGGUAGAGAAUGUUACUACCUACUCUAAUGUAAUCCCUGGAUUUCUGAGAUGCGCUGUGCACUCAGAUUUGCUACCGCUGAAUGAAUAA
Molecule: ribosomal RNA, 882 nt
Filed under: Triticum aestivum (bread wheat)
Lineage: Eukaryota; Viridiplantae; Streptophyta; Magnoliopsida; Poales; Poaceae
Description: partial small subunit ribosomal RNA
Source: RNAcentral